This 522-nucleotide ribosomal RNA is filed under the name uncultured bacterium. RNAcentral's name for it is "bacterial SSU rRNA". It matches the Rfam family "Bacterial small subunit ribosomal RNA", at positions 17 to 518 of the family's 1533-position model. The record is from RNAcentral.
UACUGGCUCAGAACGAACGCUGGCGGCGUGCUUAACACAUGCAAGUCGAACGCGAAAGGGACUUCGGUCCUGAGUAAAGUGGCGCACGGGUGAGUAACGCGUAGAUAACCUGUCUUCAUGUCUGGAAUAAUACGCCGAAAGGGGUACUAAUACCGGAUAUUCUUGCUUUUCAUAAGUUAUGCAAGCAAAGGUGGCCUCUGCAUAUGCUACUGCAUGAAGAGGGGUCUGCGUACCAUUAGCUAGUAGGUGGGGUAAUGGCCUACCUAGGCGACGAUGGUUAGCGGGUCUGAGAGGAUGAUCCGCCACACUGGCACUGGAACACGGGCCAGACUCCUACGGGAGGCAGCAGUGAGGAAUAUUGCGCAAUGGGGGAAACCCUGACGCAGCGACGCCGCGUGAAGUGAGGAAGGCCUUCGGGUCGUAAAGCUCUGUCAAGAGGAAAGAAGUGUACAAUGGCUAAUACCUGUUGUAUUUGACGGUACCUCUAAAGGAAGCACCGGCUAACUCCGUGCCAGCCGCCGC